This 110-nucleotide ribosomal RNA is filed under the name Armillaria sp. RDER-2012. RNAcentral describes it as "partial 5.8S ribosomal RNA". It matches the Rfam family "5.8S ribosomal RNA", at positions 47 to 154 of the family's 154-position model. Rfam says of the family: 5.8S ribosomal RNA (5.8S rRNA) is a component of the large subunit of the eukaryotic ribosome. The record is from RNAcentral. Lineage: Eukaryota; Fungi; Basidiomycota; Agaricomycetes; Agaricales; Physalacriaceae.
AGCGAAAUGCGAUAACUAAUGUGAAUUGCAGAAUUCAGUGAAUCAUCGAGUCUUUGAACGCACCUUGCGCCCUUCGGUAUUCCGAAGGGCAUGCCUGUUUGAGUGUCAUU